CAUGAAGCUGGAAUCGCUAGUAAUCGCAGAUCAGAAUGCUGCGGUGAAUACGUUCCCGGGUCUUGUACACACCGCCCGUCACACCAUGGGAGUUGGAAAUGCCCGAAGUCAGUGACCGAACCGAAAGGAAGGAGCUGCCGAAGGUGGAGCCGAUGACUGGGGUGAAGUCGUAACAAGGUAAC
This 182-nucleotide ribosomal RNA is filed under the name uncultured bacterium. RNAcentral's name for it is "partial 16S ribosomal RNA". It matches the Rfam family "Bacterial small subunit ribosomal RNA", at positions 1319 to 1500 of the family's 1533-position model. The record is from RNAcentral.